RNAcentral lists this microRNA (28 nucleotides) under Acyrthosiphon pisum (pea aphid). RNAcentral describes it as "api-miR-3052". The record is from miRBase by way of RNAcentral. Lineage: Eukaryota; Metazoa; Arthropoda; Insecta; Hemiptera; Aphididae.
UGCAUUCUUUGAGCUUAGCAUGAUGGCU